Long non-coding RNA from Planococcus citri (citrus mealybug), 1018 nucleotides. RefSeq lists it as uncharacterized. The record is from RefSeq and is a predicted model, not a curated record. NCBI's taxonomy places the organism in Eukaryota, Metazoa, Arthropoda, Insecta, Hemiptera, Pseudococcidae. The transcript has 4 exons.
UUGGCCAUCCGGCCUCUGAUUGAAAAGUAGGAUCGGUGGCACCCCCCUUCCCCCGCUGCGUGGUUUCCGCGCCGAUUCAAGGUGACCCCUUGGACGGCUCGGGGGGCAAUGUAGUGGGUAGGGGGCGUGCAGGGAACCGCUACGUACUGCGCCGGAACGCUUCUCGCAGAUGAGUUACGUAUCCGAUCAAUAUAUAUAGAAGAAGCUGGGCUACCAAAAGUUGCCCAGUGUUGGCUCUUGUGAUCUGAUGCUACUAUUCCUAAAUCCGUCCAGUGCUUCGAGCCGAGAACGGUAAUGAGAAUAAUUGGUGUCGGUCUUAUUGAGUAACGCUGAAGAGAAUAAUACAUGUAUGUUUAUGUAAUUGUACAGAUAUUAAUUAUAAUAAACGUAUUAUUCUGUACAUGGGUUUUGAUUUGUUAUAAAAGUAUUAUCCGUUGAACAAAUCAGUGUAUCCUCCUCGUGGUUAUUAACGUCCGUAUCCGGUCAAUAACCGUACUAGAGGUACACGUAUGUCGUAGGUCUACCUCCUACUUCAAAUGGUGAUAAUUUCCAUAGUUCAAUUUGGAACCGAAGACUUUUCUCAAUUUAUUUGAAUUGAAUUUUGAUUUUUGCUCGGUAUCUACGGUUACUUUGGUCGAACGUUACGAUGAAAUGAUUUUGGAUUUUGCCUUUUUCUUCUUCGAGCGUUUUUGCGAGGUGUUUUUUACGCAUAAAUAACAGGAGUUUUUCUAGCACGAAAUCCGCCGGAAAUACUUCGACCUUGUGCCUUGCUGGAAUUGUUCGCUGCGAUAAUACCGUGAAAGAACGGUUAAUUAUUGUCACCACAUUCACCGUCACCGGAGGUGUAAUGACGUGCACCCGUACCAUUUCUUGGUCUGAAACAGAAAAAACCACAUUCAUCGUUCUGCGAGGUCUUCUUGACCUGCGUGAUGCACGAUUUGGAUAGCUCGACCCCCGAGGGUACUCGGCAUAAUUUUGUGGCGGUGGUUGAUUAUACGAUUCGCGAUAUUGGUCAGGC